RNAcentral lists this ribosomal RNA (445 nucleotides) under uncultured bacterium. RNAcentral's name for it is "bacterial SSU rRNA". It matches the Rfam family "Bacterial small subunit ribosomal RNA", at positions 330 to 792 of the family's 1533-position model. The record is from RNAcentral.
UCCAGACUCCUACGGGAGGCAGCAGUGGGGAAUAUUGCACAAUGGGGGAAACCCUGAUGCAGCGACGCCGCGUGAGUGAAGAAGUAUUUCGGUAUGUAAAGCUCUAUCAGCAGGGAAGAAAAUGACGGUACCUGAUUAAGAAGCCCCGGCUAACUACGUGCCAGCAGCCGCGGUCAUACGUAGGGGGCAAGCGUUAUCCGGAUUUACUGGGUGUAAAGGGAGCGUAGACGGAGGAGCAAGUCUGAUGUGAAAAGCCGGGGCCCAACCCCGGAACUGCAUUGGAAACUGUUUAUCUAGAGUGUCGGAGAUGCAAGUGGAAUUCCUAGUGUAGCGGUGAAAUGCGUAGAUAUUAGGAGGAACACCAGUGGCGGAGGCGGCUUGCGGGACGAUGACUGACGUUGAGGCUCGAAAGCGUGGGGAGCAAACAGGAUUAGAUACCCUGGUA